This 264-nucleotide signal recognition particle RNA is filed under the name Candida maltosa Xu316. Its description in RNAcentral is "Fungal signal recognition particle RNA". It matches the Rfam family "Fungal signal recognition particle RNA". The record is from Rfam by way of RNAcentral. Lineage: Eukaryota; Fungi; Ascomycota; Pichiomycetes; Serinales; Debaryomycetaceae.
UGUCUAUGAUGGACUUUAGCGGAAGUGCUCUGUUCGUGUACUUUAAAUUUGUUAAAAUUUAAGAGCGGAGUGUCCGGCUCGAUCCCUGCGAGUUGAAUAUUGGACACUUGAGUAAUCAGUGUUUUUCCAAAUUCUGGUAAUAUUUAACAUAACCACUGGAGGGAAGCAAUUCAGCACAGUAAUGUUUAUCGUAGUGGAGGCGAAUCCGGAUGGCACUUUGUUUGUUAAUAAGUUUAAUGGUAUCUAUUGUCACAACUCUAAAUU